AAGCUAUGUCGGAUCUAGAACAACUGAAAUCCGCAACAAACCAAACAGAAAAAUGCAGAGAUAACCACAAAUUUCAGAGUAGGUGUAUCUUGUUGGGAAAUAGGAAUUUUGCAGUUCCUACACUUUCAUUUGGUCAUUUUGUUAGACACUAGUGCAUUAAAUGUAGAUUGCAUUGCGCUGUUGUGUAUUGAUUCCAACAUCUAAAGAUCUUUUCAAACUGUAUUGUGCUCUCCCAGUGAAUGCUAUGAAGUUAAGAAACGCUCUUACCUGAACCUCUAAUGGUUAGGAUGAAUUCUAAUAUUUUAUUUUGUUAAUUGGUUUCAGUUGAUUAAACUAUUCACUUUUCAUGGA
Magnolia sinica is the source of this 351-nucleotide long non-coding RNA. RefSeq lists it as uncharacterized. The record is from RefSeq and is a predicted model, not a curated record. Lineage: Eukaryota; Viridiplantae; Streptophyta; Magnoliopsida; Magnoliales; Magnoliaceae. The transcript is spliced from 2 exons.